CGGACGGGUGAGUAACACGUGGAUAACCUACCUAUAAGACUGGGAUAACUUCGGGAAACCGGAGCUAAUACCGGAUAAUAUAUUGAACCGCAUGGUUCAAUAGUGAAAGACGGUUUUGCUGUCACUUAUAGAUGGAUCCGCGCCGCAUUAGCUAGUUGGUAAGGUAACGGCUUACCAAGGCAACGAUGCGUAGCCGACCUGAGAGGGUGAUCGGCCACACUGGAACUGAGACACGGUCCAGA
Molecule: ribosomal RNA, 242 nt
Filed under: uncultured Staphylococcus sp.
Lineage: Bacteria; Bacillati; Bacillota; Bacilli; Caryophanales; Staphylococcaceae
Description: partial 16S ribosomal RNA
Rfam family: Bacterial small subunit ribosomal RNA
Source: RNAcentral